CCAACAAGAAUGUAGUCUAUUUUUCCAUCCUCUGACUUGUUUUGCUGUGAUGUCAUGUCAAGUAAAGCCUGGGCCCCAAGAGGAGAUGCAAGCUUCUUCUGUCACUCUUGGACCUCAGUUUCCAUGGCAACGGGUCUAGUUUUUGUUGUUAUUGUUGGAGGAUCUUUCAUGGAGGAGAAUCCUGGUGCCCAGCCAUUCUGGGAGUUGAACAAAUUCACCACAUUACAGCUUGGAAGAUAUAUGAUAAGCUGAAAUCAUGGUGCAGUCUUCAGUGGGUCCUUUUUACUGGAUUCUAGUCUUAAAGGCGUGACUGGAAUGGCUCCUGAAAAAGCUUGGGACAGACUGACAUGAUGGAUGAAAGAGGUCAUGAAAGAAACCUUGAACCAAGCAAGUGAUGUGGCAAAGCUGCAUCUUAUUCCCACUUCUGUCCUCUGGAGGGCUCUGACCCAGGGAUGGUUCAGCCAACACUGAUGCUGCUCACGAGGAAAGACAGGUCUGGAGAACUGAAGUGACCAUGUAAACUUCUAUCUCUUAACAACAGUGCUUUCCACAACUCCACGUUGUCAAAUCAGCAACGCAGAGGAUAACUUUUUCUAACAGAAAAGCAUCUGCUCAAAGGCUUUGAGAAAAUUGAAAAUAGAGUAAUUGAUUUGGCAACAGUAACAGAGUAAUUGUAUCAGUUAAGGCUC
This is a non-coding RNA of Odocoileus virginianus texanus, 689 nucleotides long. The record is from RefSeq and is a predicted model, not a curated record. Lineage: Eukaryota; Metazoa; Chordata; Mammalia; Artiodactyla; Cervidae.